Molecule: ribosomal RNA, 482 nt
Filed under: uncultured bacterium
Lineage: Bacteria
Description: partial 16S ribosomal RNA
Rfam family: Bacterial small subunit ribosomal RNA
Source: RNAcentral
GACGAACGCUGGCGGCGUGCUUAACACAUGCAAGUCGAACGAUGAAGCCCAGCUUGCUGGGUGGAUUAGUGGCGAACGGGUGAGUAACACGUGGGCAACCUGCCCCAAACUCUGGGAUAACUCCUCGAAAGAGGUGCUAAUACCGGAUACGAACUAGCCAGACAUCUGUACUAGUUGGAAAGUUUUUCGGUUUGGGAUGGGCCCGCGGCCUAUCAGCUUGUUGGGGAGGUAACGGCUCACCAAGGCUACGACGGGUAACCGGCCUGAGAGGGCGACCGGUCACACUGGGACUGAGACACGGCCCAGACUCCUACGGGAGGCAGCAGUGGGGAAUAUUGCGCAUUGGGCGAAAGCCUGACGCAGCGACGCCGCGUGAGGGAUGAAGGUCUUCGGAUCGUAAACCUCUUUCAGUAGGGACGAAGCGAAAGUGACGGUACCUAAAGAAGAAGCACCGGCUAACUACGUGCCAGCCGCCGCCGUAA